CUCCUGGAAACGGGUGGUAAUGCCGGAUGUUCCACAUGAGCGCAUGCGAGUGUGGGAAAGGCUUUUUGCGGCAUGGGAUGGGGUCGCGUCCUAUCAGCUUGUUGGUGGGGUAACGGCCUACCAAGGCGUUGACGGGUAGCCGGCCUGAGAGGGCGACCGGCCACAUUGGGACUGAGAUACGGCCCAGACUCCUACGGGAGGCAGCAGUGGGGAAUAUUGCACAAUGGGCGCAAGCCUGAUGCAGCGACGCCGCGUGCGGGAUGGAGGCCUUCGGGUUGUAAACCGCUUUUGUUCAAGGGCAAGGCACGGUUUCUGCCGUGUUGAGUGGAUUGUUCGAAUAAGCACCGGCUAACUACGUGCCAGCAGCCGCGGUAAUACGUAGGGUGCAAGCGUUAUCCGGAUUUAUUGGGCGUAAAGGGCUCGUAGGCGGUUCGUCGCGUCCGGUGUGAAAGUCCAUCGCUUAACGGUGGAUCCGCGCCGGGUACGGGCGGGCUUGAGUGCGGUAGGGGAGACUGGAAUUCCCGGUGUAACGGUGGAAUGUGUAGAUAUCGGGAAGAACACC
Molecule: ribosomal RNA, 562 nt
Filed under: uncultured Bifidobacterium sp.
Lineage: Bacteria; Bacillati; Actinomycetota; Actinomycetes; Bifidobacteriales; Bifidobacteriaceae
Description: bacterial SSU rRNA
Rfam family: Bacterial small subunit ribosomal RNA
Source: RNAcentral